AAUCUCUACCCCAAAUUUGCGUCACCCUGGGCAUCUUCACCUUGUCGACCUCAAGACAUAGCUGGCUGCAAUAAAACUUGGCCGAUAUGGUGAAGACCUUCUCUUCUAUCUC
Molecule: small RNA, 112 nt
Filed under: Pan troglodytes (chimpanzee)
Lineage: Eukaryota; Metazoa; Chordata; Mammalia; Primates; Hominidae
Description: processed transcript
Source: RNAcentral